This 405-nucleotide ribosomal RNA is filed under the name uncultured Acidimicrobiales bacterium. Its description in RNAcentral is "bacterial SSU rRNA". It matches the Rfam family "Bacterial small subunit ribosomal RNA", at positions 355 to 776 of the family's 1533-position model. The record is from RNAcentral. Lineage: Bacteria; Bacillati; Actinomycetota; Acidimicrobiia; Acidimicrobiales.
UGGGGAAUAUUGCGCAAUGGGCGAAAGCCUGACGCAGCAACGCCGCGUGGGGGAUGAAGGCUUUCGGGUUGUAAACCCCUUUCGGCAGGGACGAAAAUGACGGUACCUGCAGAAGAAGCCCCGGCCAACUACGUGCCAGCAGCCGCGGUAACACGUAGGGGGCGAGCGUUGUCCGGAUUUAUUGGGCGUAAAGGGCUCGUAGGCGGUUGCGUAAGUCGGAUGUGAAAACUCAGGGCUCAACCCGGAGAUGGCAUUCGAUACUGCGCUGACUAGAGUCCGGUAGAGGAGCAUGGAAUUCUUGGUGUAGCGGUGGAAUGCGCAGAUAUCAGGAGGAAGGCCUGCGGCGAAGGCGGUGCUCUGGGCCGGUACUGACGCUGAGGAGCGAAAGCGUGGGUAGCGAACAGG